Molecule: ribosomal RNA, 433 nt
Filed under: uncultured bacterium
Lineage: Bacteria
Description: partial 16S ribosomal RNA
Rfam family: Bacterial small subunit ribosomal RNA
Source: RNAcentral
AGCGAACGCUGGCGGCAGGCCUAACACAUGCAAGUCGAACGAACUCUUCGGAGUUAGUGGCGGACGGGUGAGUAACACGUGGGAACGUGCCUUUUGGUUCGGAAUAACUCAGGGAAACUUGUGCUAAUACCGAAUGUGCCCUUCGGGGGAAAGAUUUAUCGCCAUUAGAGCGGCCCGCGUCUGAUUAGCUAGUUGGUGAGGUAACGGCUCACCAAGGCGACGAUCAGUAGCUGGUCUGAGAGGAUGACCAGCCACACUGGGACUGAGACACGGCCCAGACUCCCAAGGGAGGCAGGCGUGGGGAAUCUUGCGCAAUGGGCGAAAGCCUGACGCAGCCAUGCCGCGUGAAUGAUGAAGGUCUUAGGAUUGUAAAAUUCUUUCACCGGGGACGAUAAUGACGGUACCCGGAGAAGAAGCCCCGGCUAACUUCGUG